GGUUAAGUGACUAAGCGUACACGGUGGAUGCCUUGGCAGUCAGAGGCGAUGAAAGACGUAGUAACUUGCGAUAAGCCCAGAUUAGGUAGUAACAACCAUUUGAGUCUGGGAUUUCUGAAUGGGGAAACCCACGUGCAUAAGCACGUAUCCUUACCUGAAUACAUAGGGUAAGGAGGCGAACCGGGGGAACUGAAACAUCUAAGUACCCCGAGGAAAAGAAAUCAACCGAGAUUCCGAAAGUAGCGGCGAGCGAAAUUGGACUAGCCCUUAAGCUUUACACGCGUUAGACGAACGGUCUGGAAAGUCCGACGAUACAGGGUGAUAGUCCCGUAGUUGACGACGUGUGUUCAGUGAAAUCGAGUAGGGCGGGACACGUGAUAUCCUGUCUGAAUAUGGGGGGACCAUCCUCCAAGGCUAAAUACUACUGACUGACCGAUAGUGAACCAGUACCGUGAGGGAAAGGCGAAAAGAACCCCUGUGAGGGGAGUGAAAUAGAACCUGAAACCGUGUACGUACAAGCAGUAGGAGCAGGCUUGUCCUGUGACUGCGUACCUUUUGUAUAAUGGGUCAGCGACUUAUAUUCAGUGGCAAGGUUAACCAUCUAGGGGAGCCGUAGGGAAACCGAGUCUUAACUGGGCGUUCAGUCUCUGGAUAUAGACCCGAAACCAGGUGAUCUAGCCAUGGGCAGGUUGAAGGUUGAGUAACAUCAACUGGAGGACCGAACCGACUAAUGUUGAAAAAUUAGCGGAUGACUUGUGGCUAGGGGUGAAAGGCCAAUCAAACCUGGAGAUAGCUGGUUCUCCCCGAAAGCUAUUUAGGUAGCGCCUCGGACGAAUACUACUGGGGGUAGAGCACUGUUAAGGCUAGGGGGUCAUCCCGACUUACCAACCCUUUGCAAACUCCGAAUACCAGUAAGUACUAUCCGGGAGACACACGGCGGGUGCUAACGUCCGUCGUGGAGAGGGAAACAACCCAGACCGCCAGCUAAGGUCCCAAAUUACUACUAAGUGGGAAACGAUGUGGGAAGGCUCAGACAGCCAGGAUGUUGGCUUAGAAGCAGCCAUCAUUUAAAGAAAGCGUAAUAGCUCACUGGUCGAGUCGGCCUGCGCGGAAGAUGUAACGGGGCUAAGUA
This 1132-nucleotide ribosomal RNA is filed under the name Vibrio parahaemolyticus. RNAcentral's name for it is "partial 23S ribosomal RNA". It matches the Rfam family "Bacterial large subunit ribosomal RNA", at positions 1 to 1188 of the family's 2925-position model. Lineage: Bacteria; Pseudomonadati; Pseudomonadota; Gammaproteobacteria; Vibrionales; Vibrionaceae. The record is from RNAcentral.